Molecule: long non-coding RNA, 17939 nt
Organism: Falco peregrinus (peregrine falcon)
Lineage: Eukaryota; Metazoa; Chordata; Aves; Falconiformes; Falconidae
Exons: 3
Source: RefSeq, a predicted model, not a curated record
UUUAAAUAGAAAAAAUAUUCUUAAGUAAUUCCCUUUUCAAAUCUAAAUAUUAACUAUUAUAAUCUGCACAUCUUUCAGUCUCACCUUCAUUUCAAAGUGAGCUGGAGCAGAAACAAUUUUUCUUGAUCUGUCUGGUAUCCCAUGUCAGUUUGGUGAGGUGAAAAUUGACUCACCCGCAACUGAUGUCAUUGAAUUGUCAUCACAUGUGGACUCAAACACAGGAAGUUACAGACUUCUUGGCUUCUGAGUUACCCCUUGCUAAAGGUGCGUCACCAGAGACACACCCAUGUAACUGGUGUGCUCAAACUGGGGGGGGGGGGGGGGGAGGGGAAUGCAUGUAAACUGAACCAAUAAAAGAAGCUCUGUAAACAGAUCAGACAUCUUGAGAAUAAAACCUACAUACAAAAUGGGGUUUCCAUUUCAUGGAACGGGUCAAAGGCAAGUGGAAAGCCAACACAGCGAGAUGGGUGACAGCAGCACCCAGUGCAACAUGGGACAUAUAUGGCUGCCUAAUCCAGGACUUCAGCAGCAGGAAAAGCACCAUCUGAUAUGUAAAGUAUACAUAAGCACCUCUGGGAGAGCAAUGAUUCACUGGAACAGCCUCCCCAGGUGUGUGGUAAAAUCCCCGUCGCUGGAGGUUUUCAAGAUGGGAUUGGACAGGGUGUUAGGUAUCGCAUCUAGGCUUCCCUACCAGAUGAUCUUUUGAGAUGACUUCCAGCCUGGGCUAUUCUAUGAACUUUGCCUUAGGACUGAUUUUGUGACCAAAAGAUCAGCAUUAGCUGCUAGGCAUUAAAAAACCCUCUAAAAUGGGACCUUUAGAAGAUGGACAGAUGACUAGUCCACCAGUCCUCUGCAGGAAUGCUACAUCUUCAGUAAGAGAGACGCAGCUGCAGAAUUAAGAAGAUACCUUUCAAGCUACACAAUCUUCUACUAGUAAGCUAAACCAUUUUAAAAGUUCUACUCUGAUUAUGUUAUAUGCAUACACACAUAUAUAUUUUAUAUACUCCAUAUAUUUGUAUUUAUAUAGAUAUAUAUGGUUGGAGCAAAUGUGAUCAGUUGGCUUAUAAUAGAAAGUCUAGAAGAUGGUAAUUAGGUUGUGAACUUAAGGAUCUAGUUUUAUUUACAUAGGGUUUUAAAUGUAAUUAUUGUAUAUGGAAGCUUAAAACCAAUAUACAGUCAGUAUGAGAUCACACUGAAAUAGGCAGCAGUGAACUUAUCUUUAGCCAGCUUCCUCCCUGGAAAAAAAACCUCAGGUUGUUUAGCACCUCUGGUCAGAUACACAAAAAACUGAUAAACUGAAGACUCUGCUUCCGAAAUGUAAUUUCUAAUUUAUAGGAUAUAACACAAGACUUCUAUCAGACCUGAGAGCUGAAUUCCAAGUACCCGAUUUCCAUUUCUUUAGUCAACCAAUAUGAUUAGAGCUUCAUUUAGCAUCUUUUUCUAGAAUUCAUUUUUUGACUGUGUACUGUUGUGACAUGGUGAGAUAAAAUAAGCCAUUCAUUCAGUAAAUGCUGUUGAUAAAAAUAUAGAGAAAUAUACUUGAAGACAUUUCAAGGAAUACCAAGUUUAACAGGAUCUUACAAAAUUCUACAAGAUGCAAGUAGACAGUGUUUUUAAUAUUUGAGGGUGAAGCAGAAGUGAUGAAGAGAGGGUAUGCAGCAGAAUUUGUUUUUAUUUAGGAAUACCCUACAUAAAAAUGUAGCUAAACAGGAUGUCAAAUAAACACUACUAUGAAUGUCAUUGUUUUAAGGGCAAGGUACACUGCAAGGCUUAAAAGAUCCCAUUUGUUGUGGUUCAGCCCCAGCCAGGAACUUAAGUACCAUGCAGUUGCUUGCUCACUGCUCUCCUGCUGCACCACCACCCCUCCCCCAUGAGACAGGGAGGAGAACAGGAAGAAAGGUAGAACCUGUGGGUUGUGGUAAGAACAGUUUAAUAAUUAAAAUAAUAACGAAAAAGGAGAAAAUAGAGAGAGAGGAAUAAAACCCAAGAAAAAUAAGUGAUGCACAGUACAACUGCAGACCACCUGCUGACCAAUACCCAGCCAGUCCCAGAGCAGCGAUCCGUGUCUCUCCGCCAACUCCUCCCAAUUUUUACAGAGCAUGAUGUUCCAUGGUAUGGUCUAGCCCUUUGGGUAUCAGGUCAGCUGUCCUGGCUGUGCUCCCUCCCAGCUUAUUGUGCACCUGCUCACCAACAGAGCAUGGGAAACUGAGAAGUCCUUGACUUACAGUAAGCACUGCUUAGCAACAACUAGAACAUCCGUAUGCUAUCAAAGUUAUUCUCAAGCUCAACCCAAAACCAGCAAUGUACCAGCUACUAAGAAGAAAAUUAAUUCUAAGCCAAAACCAGGACACCAUUCUGCAAAGGGAAGGAGGGUAUUUUCACAAGUCCAGACUAGAAGAUACUGAGCAACUGACACAGACUUCAAAGUGCCUGUCAAAAACAGCACUUCUUUGCGUGUUUUUUGGUUGUUUUGUUGUUGUUUUUUUAAAAAUUCAAAGAACUGAAGCAAAAAAAAAAAUCAGGAUGAACUGGAAGUGCAACGUAAUGCAAUGAAUUUUUGAUUCAGAUCCUCACCCCUACAAAACUUGAUCAAAAUGAGUACUGUUAACAUUUCUGCAAAUUUAGACUGUACUUUCACAUAUAGGUUUCAACCUUCACAUUCCAUUUACUCAUAUUAAUCUUCCACCUGCAAAAUUUCAUUUCCGAAUAAUGUUCAAAACAGUUCACAAGCUGCCUAAGUAAGAAAUUCUAUUUCAAAAUAUGUUUGCACUAGGAAAUCUUUAAGUGAAGGGAGAGAUAAAGUGAAGCUGCUGCCGGUAGGGUUUGCUGAACUUCUAAGACCACACAAUACAGUUGAAUAGAUACGCAGCAGGGAGUGUUGCAAGGGUCACAGAGGAUACUACAGCUGAUGCAACAGGAAAAAAAGGUAUUGAAAGCAAUUUAUCCUUCGAUACAGUUAAUAUUUUUUUCUCCCAGUUCUGCUACAAUAGCCUAUGUACAAGUAAUCCAGUAUAAUCCUGCCUCGAAUUCUGAAGGACAAGUCAAGGAACAGAAAUACUAGAGUUUACUGCUAAGAUAUUACAAAACAUAAUACCAACAUACUUUAUACAGAGUGUUGUUUACCACUAGGAAAUCAUCAAUUUGCAAAAUCGCAUUUAUUGCCACAUUGUUGUUUCCCAUCCCUGACAAAGGCAGUUUGAAGAUUCACCGGAAUGAGGAAGAAGUUACUACUGAAUUUCAUGAGGAAAACCAGCUUUUUUAGAAUUCCUUCUUCACAAUCAACUUUACAGCAGCACUGCUGCUGUAAACACUCACUGUAUUCACCUGUGGCCACCAGAGACUACCACAGUUGCUAAGCAACAUCUCUUAGCUUCAUCUCAAUUUUGACAUUUGCCAUUUGGGAAUAUUCACCAGAACCUAACAGUCUUUUAAUAACCCCAUCUCAUUCUUCUCCUUUUCUAAAGAUCUAUAAUGUCCUGAUUAUGUAACAUCAGAUACCAAGUGAAAAAACGAAGUUUUCACAACCGUUUUAUGAAAUGCAAUUGAAUUGGUUUUUCAGGCACCGGUGAGUGCUUUUUAUUUAUGUACAGGAAUCUGCCUAUGCAAUUCUGUUUUGGUGAUCCUCUCCCAUACAGACUUUUCCCCCAAGUCUGCACAUUAGGGAGUCAAAAAAAAAUCAAAGGCAGAGCAAAAGGGGGGAGGUGGGGGGGAAGCAGCAGAAAGAGGGAAAACCCUCUUGUCUGCUAUGCUUUUGUAAAUAUCCAUGUGUAUCUACUGCAGAUAAAAUAUCUUAGAAUAUUUUCAUGUGGCAAGAAAGUUAUAAUAGUGCUACAGAAACCCCACUCAGUUUCAGCAACUGUCUUUCCUUUUCUGAUUUCUAGUUUCUCCACUAUAAGGUAAGCAAGAACAUAAAUUAGAGCCUUACACAGUAACAACAAUAAUAAAAAAAUUCAAACCCCAGAGCACUUAGCAUAUUAUCUACAUUUAUUCUAUUUAUAGAAUACAUAUAGUCCAUAAAUGAGACUGAACCCUCUCAAUCAAAGAAUAUCACACAUGAACCUAUACAUGUUCUCCUAUCUUAUAAAAAAAAAAAAAAAAAGACCAAUCCAAAUAAUCUUCAGUGACUCUACCAACAUGCAGAUAUCAAGCAGCAGAUUCCACAGUGGCAGAAAAAGAAAAGAGACUGCAAAAAUCCAUGCAGUCAGUGUAUUUCUGCGGAUAAUACUGCUAUGAGGUAACUGCUCCUUGAGAGACUGUCCACACAGAUUGUCAUCUAACCCAGAGAGGCUUCUUACUGAACAAUGCCUUACAGCACAGCAUCCUAUGCCCCGUACGGUUAUUCUGCACACUUUGAAUACAGUAAUGGUAUUCAGAGGCAAUGAGUUUUCCAGAAUUCUAGCAGAAUAAGCACUACCAUUGCUAUGCAACACCAUUUCCAAUAGUUUAUAGUCAAUAUUCAUACAGAUUCCCGUUCUCACAAACUCUCUCCUGACCUUAUUAAGCAGCAUUUAAGCAUUAAGUAUUCCACAGAUUGUCUUGUAGUAACGGUUCUGUUACGUGAACUAUAUGCCAUGACAUUUCCCUUUAGGUUCAGUAAGGAUUGAAGAGGAGAGAAUGAAGUUCUAAUAAUUAGGUGUAGGCUUUUGGGAUGAGAACUGUACAUAGCUGUAUUUUUAUGAAAUACUAAAUUAAGUGGAAUCAUGCAUGCACUUUAGGCUCAUCAAAUCACAGCCUUAAACUGAUCAGGGGAAAAAAGCAACUGCUUAGUUAACCAUUUGAAAUAGAUGACAAAUCUAACUAAUGUUACACAGAUGUCUCAAGGAUGCAGAGUAAAAAAAAUUUAGACAAAAGUGAUCCAGCUAUUGCACUUCCUCAACUUGCAAUACAAAUCUUAAUAAAGUCAACUACAGAGUUUUGUAUCAUGCUAUCAAGUUGGAAGUCAUAGAACAUUUCAAAGCAGUAUCAGAUUGACAAAGCUGCAGAGAAAGAGGGUUUCAAUUUUUAUUUCUUAUAUAAUUAAGUCUAGUUCAGGACUUACAGUAGAACCUUCUGGUGGAUACUGCCAGACCACAUCAACCAGACAGACACUGAGAAUGAAGUGGUUAAUUUGUACAGAAACUGCAUGACCAAUUUUAAGUUUAUUGCAGCCUUUGUUUUGUUUUGGGAUCUUCUGUGUUGAGAGGCAUACAUGAACUGUAGUCUUCAAGGAAAGCGAUGGUUCAGAGACACUUCUGGAUAACCUCCCAGAAAUACCAGUCAGAGAACACUACCUUGCUUCAUGAUCCAGAUAUAAUGGCUUUCUGAAAGAAGGACUUGGUUCUUCUCUUUCCAUGAAUAUAUAAACCCCACUGCUGUUAUGCUGUCACUACCUGAGCUCUCUCACAGGAAGGCAGGAUUGCCUGGCAGAUCAGUUAGAGGACCUUAUUUCCCAGAACAUUAUUAAGCAUCUUCAGGGAAAAAGAAAUCCCAUGAUUUUAAAGAUGAUAUAGCUACAUUGCCCAUCUCUAGCUGGAAGUGUCCUUCUCAAACGCCUUGAUAAGGGUAAAGGAUGGCUAAUGUUACAUGUGUUAUUUUUUCACCCAUUUGACAAGAAAGGGUUUGAUGGGAUGCUUGCAGCUGACAUUUUAAAGUCUCUAGUCUAGAUAAAAUCCACUCUAAAAUUUUUUUUGCAUGGAGGUACUUCUGUGGAGGACUUCUGAAAUCCGGCAUAUUGCUUCAUUCAGCUGCAUGAGUAAGUCCAGCAAAUUAAGUAUACUUUUGGCAUUAUCUCUUUAUUAAAAAGCUUUCCUUCAGUUAGUCAUUUUUUCUUGCAAAUUCAUGUUGACACAGGUCCCUUUGAAGACUGGAUUUCUGUGAUCAUUAAACCAUAAAGAUCAUUAAAAUUAUUCAGCGGAAGCUGGUUACUUACAAGGCUUAUGUCACUUGAAUUAACCUUGCAAUCACCAGCCUCUACAAACAAGGUGCUCUAGCUACCAAGUAGCUUGCAUUUAUCAUUUUCUGUUGCAGGAUGAUCAAAUGUCAACAGUCACACCUGUAGCAAAAGUAGUACUAGGAUUCUGAAGUGUUUUCUGUGAAUUACAGCUUACUUUUAAUAUUACAAAAGAACGUGGACUUUUAAAUAUAAGAAAAUGAAAUUAAAAUCUAUAGUCUGAAGGCAUCUCUUCUCUAUGACCAAGAAAGAAUCCAUCUUUGUGUUUCCUCAAUUUCUUAGACAAAGGUCCUUGAAGAAGAAAGUAGAAAAAUGUUGUACGUAAAAUGUCCUCUCAAACACAGCAGGCUGCAGGUUUUCUUGGGCUUGGAUUCUUACAGGAUACAAAUGAAAAAAACAAAACAAAACAAAAAAGAGAAGACUGCAGUGAUCUUCCACCUGAAAAAUGAAGGCCUCUGCCUUUUAGAAUAAGAUACAGGCCUCAAAUGAGAUCAGCUUAAGAUCAGCUUAGACUUCCAGAAGUAUUUCUAUGUCUUGAGUUAAAAGGCUUUUGACUAACGACACCAAUGAGGCUUGCAAUUAUGCAGGACGCACAAGAAACAUGCUCAAAGGCACUCCUGGCUUUAAACUUCACACCUAGGACGAUGGGUUUUAAGGUUUUUCCCUGUGGAAUUAUUUUCAAAGACAGCUAUGAGUCUCAGUUUGCAGUCACUGAACACCAUCAACUGUGCAUGGUAGCUGGCAGUGAACUUGGGGACAGAAGUAGCCGGCCAGCAACGUUUUGUUGAUGCUGACUGGGAAGAUCAUAGAUACUAGCCUAGUGAACCAGAGAAAUACAUCUAGAAAUACAGUCCUCCUAGGACCAUUGCUUCCUCCUGCUCAGAAAGGGCAGGUCUAGAGACACCUCCAAUACCAGUGUUGCAUUCCUAAGUGGAAAAGAUGGAAGUAAACAAAAGCAAACCACAUUUCUUCUAGUAAUGAUGUAAUUGUUUUGCUUGCUAGUGCAAAUCUUAAAAAAUAAAGAAAACAAGACAACAUUAUGAAAUCACAAAGCAUUGACAGUUUGCAUAAAAGAUCAAACUAGCGUUCACAGUAGUAUACAAUACCAAAAAAAGAAGCUGCAAGUUUAGCUUAAUUGAUACAUUAUUUGACAAUGAUUUUACCAUUACAAAUCUACCAUCUACAAAUAUUUUGAUCCUGGACCUAAAAAACAAUGGCCAGGCUACAGUGAUACUGCCAGCAAGUUCAGUAGUGGUUAAUACCUGGUCUAUAAAAGACUUCUCCAAACUGCUGUCUGAAGAGCUCAAAAUAGCUCUACAAAAAACAUCCUUAAUCUUACCAUUGUAGGAGUGAGAAAAGCAGCUGAUGAAGCAACAAUCCAGGAGCACUAUCAUUCCAAACACAGAAGUACAUGUAGAAUUUAUACAGCUGUUUUAGACUGCUUGCCUUCCCAAACUCCAUAGAAAAUUAUACAGAGAAAAAUGUAUCUGCACAGAGUCACUCUGAUCACCUACAAUAAACUUCAUUUUUCUUGUCUACAGUGCUUCCCAAAUGCCACCCAGAGUUGGAUGCCAGAAGUAUACAGUAUGAAUUAUACUCAGGAGUACCUCUCUACUGACAAAUGGUAUAAAAACUUCAAAGGAAAGCUGUCUUAAAUUUUGACCAUUUAAGUUCAGUUGUAAUAGCUCAACCUCCACAAAGGUUCUACUCUGAAACCUUUAAGAACAAAAGUAAUGCCUUGAGUAUAGCUCCUCCAGAGGCCGACUUUCGCCUGAUGAACCAGCAAGCCACAAUGCUUGUUUGCUUGUUUCCUGUAAAUAAAGGCCUGCAGUUUCACCUUAUCCUAAAAAAAAAAUCAAAGGCUAAAUUUCUCUUUGAAUGACUGAAGACAUCAGUAUACAGCCUUUCUUCACGAGCUGGCACAUAACAUAGCUGAGCUGUUUCCUGAUCAUUUUGCAGACCAACUCCAGACUCUCCUGAUGAUUCUGUAUAUAUGACCAUCUCUCUCCAACUUUGUAUUUGUGAUGACAAAACUAUCUUACUUACCAAAAGGUGACUAUUAACCAGGUCAUAUUAAUUUGUCACUUUGGGACCUUCUUGGGGAAGAAUUUUGCUAAAUAAUAGAACACUGAGGAGUGGGUAGCAGAAGAUUGAACUAGAUAACCUCCCAAGAAUCCUUCUAAUCAGUUUUCUUUGGAAGCUGUUACUAGCUUCUUUAAAAUCUUGUACAGUGAAAAACUGUCUGCACAAGAAACUAUUGAUCCUUGAAAGGUCAUUUAAAAAAAAAAAAAACCUAUUUGGUUUGAGUGGACAACUUUCCCGGUAAGUUCUGUUUUCUCCCUUGAAAAUAAUACAGAAAAAAAAAAUUUCUGUGAAGUCUUCUGUGAGUACUGAAGACAGUAUGCCAGGAUAGUGGAUAGACACCCCUCACCCCCAUUUAUGAGAAAACUGUUAAUGGAACACUCUAUACCUGUGACAUUUUGAUUCCAAAAAACCCCUUCAAAAAUAAGCCAUCCAAAAGGAUGACAUUAAGAUGUUAAUUAACAAGACAGCAAACCUAAAAUGCUCACAGUACUCUUCCUCAAAUGGCAAGACCUCACAGGUAUGAUAAUGGCAAUGAACUAGUGUAAAAUUGAAUUGACUAUAAAUACAGAAUCUGAGGAUUCCUUUCUGGCAUCAAGCCUAGAUUAAUGGUUAAAUUUCCCCCCACCUUUUAGCAGAUGCUGGAUUACUUAUUUAUGCUAGUAUGCUAAGUCCAAAAAAUGAAGUGAUUAUAAUAGUAAAUGUGGCUACAAUAGUGUAAAUCACAGAUAACCCUUGAAAUAAUGAAAAAUACCAGUUUUUUUUAUUCUGUUUAUGAGGUAGCUUGGCAAUAGGUCUUUUUUCUGCAUCAGCACAUACAUUUUGUGGAGGGAUAAAGAAUCUUACUUUGAAUUAAAGAGUAUAAUUAUAAUACAUAUCAGUCUUUCAUUUUUGCCUGGAAGAAGCCUUCAUCCCAAAUGUGAAGUUUUUUUAUUCUAAAAAAGAAUGAUACUGAAUGAGGACUCUACCACCAACUGGAUGAGUAGAAUGCUUUUCCACUUUUGCAGAUAUAUCCUUAUCAACACUGUUUUGUUUUUUUUUUAAUACUGAAUAGUUUGAUAAGGAUGACACACUCUGCCCUGCCAAGUACCUUUCUCUCUGGAACUGGAUCAGAACUGGAGGUAGACUUUGAUGGACAGUGUUAGGAUAUUCUCUCCAAGAUGCUAACAGAGAGAAACAGAGUCCGCUUAGCAUGUUUUAGCAAAAUCCUCAUGACAGUGACAGAAAACUGCUUCUUUUGCUGUUUAUCUCGUUGAGUUUGUCAAUCAGACUUUGGUGGAUUUUCUCACUCUCUAUCGCAGAGUAGUUGAAGAAGGGGACAAUCCUUUUUCUAUCCUUUUUGCUGGGUGUCCUGUUUUGGCUUGGAUAGAGUUAAUUUUCUUCUUAGUAGGUGGUACAGUGCUGUGUUUUGGAUUGAGUAUGAGACUAAUAUUGAUAACACACUGAUGUUUUAGUUAGAAUAAGCAUUACUUGGCAAACAAGUCAAGGACUUUUCAGUUUCCCAUGCUCUGCCAAAAAGGAGAUGCACAAGAAGCCAGGAGGGAGCACAGCCAGGACAGCUAUCCCGAACUACCCAAUGGGUUAUUCCAUACUAAAGAACAUCAUGCUCAAUAUAUAAACUGGGGGAGAGUUGGCCAGGAGGGGCCAAUCGCUGCUCAGGGACUGGUUGGGCAUUGGUCAGCAGGUGGUGAGCAACUGUUCUGUGUAUCAUUUGGUUAUAUUUUUUCCCCUCGCUUUAUUUCAAUUAUUAAAUUGUUCUGAUCUCAACCCAUGAGUUUUACCUUUUUCCUCUUCCACUCCCCAUCCGACCAGGUGGGGGGGUGUGUUGUAGAGAGGGGGAGUGAGCAAGCCGCUGCAUGGUACUUAGUCGCUGGCUGGGGUUAAAUCGCAACACUGGGGCUGCGUAUUUUUUGCUUCAUAGCAAGAUCCAAAUUUAGUCCUUCCCAGUUCUUUUUAUCAUGUAGAGCAGAAUUUGAGAUAGGAGUUCUCUGAUGACAGGACUCUGGGUUUAUUCUUUCAAGCGCUCUUUUUAACUUGAAGACUUACGCAUGUUCAAAAUACUGACUUCACAAGGGGCUCCUAGACACCUCUGCUUUGUUCAGUGGAGAUCCUUUGUCAGAGUCGGAGUGUGUUCAGCCUAUGACCAGAGUACCAGACUCUAAACCAUGAGAUCCAAAACUAGCCGUCAGAGUUCUUUCUCAAAUGGGAUGCAAUGGGACUGACAUUGCUGGCAUGACACAGCUCUGGUUCACUUUAAACCUGCACAAAGAUGAUGAAGGUUAAUAGGAAGAGUAAGCAAUGAGCUUUACAGCCUCUUACUCUGCCGCAGAAUCCUGUUGAUCAGCGCCUUAAUGAGAAAUUAGCUUCAGAAGAGCUGAGUAACUAUUUCAUUCUGUUCAAGUUCUUCCAUCUUUCUACUCUUAUUCAGGCAAGGAAGACUUGUUUCUCUCUUAAGCAGAGGAGGUUUACAACAGAGGGUCUACCAGCACUUCUUGGAAGACCUUCCUCAAAAAGGUUGAAAAAAAUUCUGCUUCUGUUAGAACCCUUUAGAGGACCUGAGACUUCAACAACAGAAAAGAAGAAUCAUCUACGUGCUCAAAUUUAAGAAUAGACAAAAUCUAGUUUGCUUCUCUGAUUGCGGCUUUCUUCAUGUUCUACAAAGUAUUUGAGUAAGCUAAGGAAAUGAAGACAGACCUAAGGCAAGAAGCAUUUCAACAGAAGUCAAGACUUGGAAAUACAAGAGUGUUUAUUCAGUCAGACAAAAUGACAGUGUGAGAAAGAACCACCUCACAUUACCACCACAACUUCCACACAUUUAUAGGUCUUUCUCACUGUAAUUCUACAUGGACACAGCUUUCUGCAAAGCCAACAUAAAAAUACUACUUUCCAAAUUCAUGAAGAGAGAUUAGACUCCAACCCCCUCCAAACCAAAAGCUAAACUUCAACACACAAAAAUUAUGUAAUGCCCUUGGAAACCAAGAAUUCAUUUUUCUGUCCCAUAAAAUAUGAUCCCUUCCCCGAAACCACUGAAAAUUCUGUUCUACAGUUACCACACGUAUUUACAGGAUUGUUGACACUGAAGUAAAGGAUCAAUGCAUGUUCUUGCAGUGACAAAUCCUACACCCAUAUUCCUCAGCCCUUCAUUUCCACCCACAUGUUAUUUCUACUAUGGUGACAGAACAGUUUGUAAAACUGUCGUGGUUUAACCCCAGCUGGUAACUAGGUACCACGCAACCGCUUGCUCACCCACCCCUCACCCAGAGGGAUGGGGAGAAUUGGGAAAGGAAUGUAAAACUCAGUGGUUGAUAUAAGAACAAUUUAAUAGGUAAAGCAAAAGCCAUGCAUACAAGUAAAGCAAAACAAGGAAUUCAUUCACUACUUUCCAUCGGCAGGCAGAUGCUCGGCCAUCUCCAGGAAAGCAGCGCUCCAUCACACCUAACAGUUACUUGGCAAGACAAAUGCCCUAACCUCAAACGUCCUCUUCUUUAUUCUUCCCCCAGCUUAUAUAUACUCUGUAUGACAUACCAUGGUAUGGAACACCUCUUUGGCUGGUUCAGAUCAGCUGACCUGGCUGUGUCCCCUCCCGCCUUCUCACUGGCAAGGCCUAAGAAAACUAAAACCUCCUUGACUUAGUACAAACACUACCUAGCACACUGAUGUUUUCAGCUGUUGCUAUCAGCACUGUUCUUACACCAAAUCCACAGCACUGCACUAGCUACUAAUAACAACAUUAACUCUGUCCCAGCCAAAACCAGAAAAAAAACCACAGCAGUGAGCUACUGAACCAGCUUCCCCCCAGUAGCCUUUCAUACCAGUUUUCUGAUCCAGUUUCUUGCUGUGCCAACAUCAUGAAUAGAAUAGCAAAGGCUAGGAAGAAACAGCUAGAACUAGGAAGUUACAAGGGCUCCUUAAGCAAUGUUGGUUUCAUAGCUUAGAUUAUUUCCAGCUAAUUUUCUGUCUACUCAAGCCACAACUAUGUGUGUGUGGUAUGGGCCUACCUAUGUGUGAAGUUCCUUAAGCUAGGCUGUCUAGAUGCAUUUUCCAUCAUGUAUGCCCACAUACUCAAAACUGAACUCAGUUUCUGUGUCCUUGUGCACCCCCUUCUCCAUGCUCAACAACAAAUAAUUUAAAAAUAACCUCAUGCUUUUGGCUCAUCAGGGCAAUUUUACUGCCACGAAUGUGUCUGAGCUGUUCAAUAUUAGGAGGUAUUUAAUGAUAAACCAAAACUAGCAAAAAAUUUGUCUUGAAGUGUCACUGCAAACCAGAAAAAUUCAGAAAGCUGCACAAAAAUCUGUGCAACUAAACAACAGUGAAUACACAAGUCCCAAGCUAAGCCAUCCUAGAUCUAUCAGUGACCUCUGUCUUCCUUUAAGACUGCUAGGAAGUCAAAAAAUUAAGCCAGAGAUGGUGAAAAAUCUGCAUCUGAACAAAUUUCACUUAUUGAUAAAACUAUUCUAAAUGGUUAUAGAUUUAUAUUUGAAGAAGUCCACAGUCACCUCACUUCACCAAUGGACUACUUUCAGAACAUUAUGUGGGGAGGUUCUGAAAAGAAUCAUGUUCUACUCAUCACAGUAUCUUCUUUAGACAUUUUGAUAUUUAACCUAAUUCCAAACGGCUGCCCUGAAAAAAAUAUUUAAUGAGACACAUACUCCAGAAAAUGGAUCCAGCUUCUACUGAACAGAGAGGCUACGACCAUCCUUAACUGAUUCACCUUUGCACGCUUUGGAACAAUCCAAUAUUCAACUUGGAUGUUCUUGGGUAGAUGCAAUGUUUGUGGGUUUUUUUGUAAUGAAAACCAACCAUUGAAAAAACAUCCAUGAAGUUUUGGUUCAGCACAAAUAAAAAUUAAGACUCAAACAAAUAUAUGUACAGAUGCCUCAGCACUUGAAACUAAUUGCUCAAAAAAAAAAAAAUCAAGGGAAACAUUGCAAAUAAGGUUAAGUACUGUGACCAAGAAGAAAGAAAACUUAGAAUAAUUCUUUAGAGAUCCUAGUCAGUGAAAACACAACUUGAACUACAUAUAUGCCUGCCAUAACUUGUAGAGGGAUUUUUAAAGACAUAUGUUACCAUUGUCUGGGUUGGACAACCCAGGCCUGUUAGUUGAAGCUGCAGAGCAGCUUCAAAUUGUCCUGGGAACAAGCAGUGGGAGAAAGAAAACAAGCUAUGCACAAACAAGAAGCCAGGUGCAGAGCAAGUCCUGGGAACCGCAAAAUCAACACACUCUCAUCUGCACACUCUAAGGCGCCUGCAGCAUGCUCACCAGUCGGUGACACGGACCCCACGUGGCCUAGAGACUUUUAUCCAAUCACCUGUGUGUAAAGUCUGGUGAGCGGUCAGUUUAAGUUAUAAAUAUGACCUGUUUGUUUAAUAAAGUGAGCACAGCAUGUAGCCAUAUUGGUGUGAUUGUCUUGACUUGGCCGACUCUCCACAGGGGACCCUCUUCAAUAACUCUCCCUCCCCCACUCCUCAAACUAACAGCCACACAAAAGACUUCAUCUAAAGAUCUGGACUCAAGCUAAGCUAUUAGGGCAGAGUUUACAUCUCUACUACACCAUCACAAAUAGAGCAGAGGAAAUAGAUCAAUUAAAUACACAAAAGCAAUUCAACACCAUGUAGAAAAGAACUGCUCUUCUAUAGGCUGACAAAUAACAUGGCAGUUACGUAUUUUUUUUAAAACAAUGUGGAUAACAACUUGCUGUGGCUUGCCAAGUAAUUUGAGAAAAAUAGAAAAAUUAUGAUGGAUAAGAUUAUCACAGCAGCACACCAAAUAUUUCAUCUUGGAAUGUCCACUGUUAUUUUUCUGUCCAUUGUAUUGCCAAAAGCUUCCCAAUAUCUAAGCUAAAAGUACAAGGCAGAAGUACCAGCAAGCUGGUCUGCCUUUGAAAAAGCAGCAUGGUGCUUGUGCUGCUCCUGUGAUAAAGCAAUGAACCCAAACCAGCUGUCUGCUAUAAAAAAAAAUAUCUCCUGCACUGUCUGAGGACAGCAAGGACAGGCCUUGCCUCUGGCAUUGUCCAGAAAAUGUGUUCAUCUGCACAGUAACAGGAAAAAACUUCCUAUACCUAUCAGAAUUACCUUGAGGUAAGAAAAUCUGUUUGAAGGCUUGAAAGAGACAGGUGUAUGUCUUGGUAACGCAUGUCUGCCCCUCCAGUUCUGGUUGAGGAUGGUGCCAUUGAAAAUUACAAAAUGGGACAAGACAAGCUGAAGCAGGUUCUCUCUCAUGUGGGAAGGGCAGUUUCUUUGUGACUGAAGCAGUAUCUCAUAAUCCCCACCACAUAUUCACUUGAGAGUGAUGCAUGCCCUUUGUCUGACCAUCCUAAAAGAUAUCCUUGAACGUAACUCUGAAGAACAUCUGAAACAUGUUUUAAGGUGGGUAUUAAGACACUAUAUGGGUGUGAUCCAUUUCUCUACCUCAAAGUCACAUGGGCAGUGGAAUAGUCAGAAUAUUGCAUAUAGAACACCUAAGGAAGUAACAGUCUCCCAUGCCAAGAAUCAAAUCCUAAAAAACAACAGAACAUUUAACAUGGAAGAUUAUUCUAGAAAAGGAACUAUUUUGUUUAUAAGGCUUCCUUCACUUCUAAAAGUUACACUUCCCAGAAAGGUAAUCAAUAAACAGACUAGGCAUAGAGGCAGUCUCAAAAAUUAAGUCAAAAUACGCAGACUCUUGCAUGAUCAUCUUGUUCUGGAAAACUGUUCUCUGCUUUUGAAGGUGUGGCUUUUUCAGCUUCUCUAUUCAAGACUUCUUCAAAUUUGGUGUUCCACAGGAAGGGCUUUAAUUUCUUAUGAAGAUCCAUAAUACUACUAAGUCCAUAAUCUUCCAGGUUACCCUGGCAGUGAAGGUGGUAUGAAGCAGAUAGUGUGCAUACUGAAUUCAGCUCUGAGUGGAAUCAGAUACAUUCUCAUCAUCUGUCAAGUCAGGGAGAAUGUGCAAAGAUUUACAUUAUUUCCCAGCUACAGUGAAGGCCAAAGGCCUGGAGCUUCCAAAGUCUCCAUAUGCCAAACUUGAGCAAAACAUGAACAAAACAUCACUACCAAAGAUCUACCCGUCUGUAAAAGCAGAGAGGCACUGAAAGAAAAAAAAAUGAGCGAACAAAAGAAAAAUCUCUGGGACUAUAACGUAGUAGCAACAAACUCUCUACGCCUUGCUAGUCAAUGUAGUUUCAGUGCAAAGUCUGCCUGUUUGCUGCAGGACAACACAUACAUGUCCCUAUGGAUGCAAUAUGACUUUGGACAAAACAAAACAAUAAAAUAAAAUCACCAAAUGACUGUUCCUCACAAACAUAUAAAACUGCAGAGGGGGUGGGGACAACCCAAAAGUAACACUUUGGGAUUACCCUAAUAGUUGUUUUGUACCCACAGUGCAUGUAUGUUUGUUUGUGUGUGUAUGCAUAUGUACAACGACAAACCAUGGAGGAGGAUGUGUAGUUUCCCUCAGUACAAGGUAGUAUGACCUGGAGAAUAAAGCACCAGACUGGUGCUGAUGAUGAGCAUGUUUCCAUUUCAGUUCCACUACUGAUCAAUAGUUUAGCCUCAUCAAAUCAGAAUUAUCACCUGCCUCAGUUUUUUAUUGACUGUAAAGUGAGAUAGAGAUGAGGUUUUUUUCUGUAAACUUUACUGCCAGAAGUCAGGAAUCAUGACAGAGUCAUGUAGAAGAGUCUCAUCUCUUGGAUUUUCUUAGGAAAAAAGCUUCAGCUAGUCAGCAGGUACAAGCAGAAGACUCAGUAACAAAUGUAAGUAAAUACAAAAGCAAAUAAAUUUAUUUUGAAUACAGCUUUUAUCUAGCUUAUGCUUUUAUAGGAAGACAACAUAUUUCCAGUUCACAAUGGAUAUGGAACAUAUUUCAUAAUCUUAAAAUCUACACCUCACAAAAUCAUUACUUUUCAAGUAAUAUAAAGAAUGACAGAAAGAUUGCUCAUAUCUGAAAAUACACAUUAUGCAAUAUUGGAACAAAACUACAUGAAAUGCUUUUCUUGUAAGAGUACAUGGUAUUAUUUGAGGGAAAAGGUAAGGUUAGAUGACUGUCAAAUCCGGCAUAAUUUUCUGUGAAGCUUAACAUUGACUCUGAAUAUCCUGGGUUUAAUUCUUGAUCCUAGGGCCAUUGUAACACUGUGAAGGACGUAUUUUACCAAGUAAGGGACUAUCCUAUUAUUUAAGAACAUUAUUUAGACAGUGAAUUCAUUUUGAAAAGUUUUCAUUAAUAAAUCCAUUGCUUCUAAGGAAAUUCCACAAGUUGCAAGUUCAUUCCAAAUGCCACUGUUUGUGUAGUCUUUUUUCAUAAGGAUGUUUAAAUAAACAUGACCAAACCCCAAAUAACCAAAGCAAAAAGAUCUCUUUCAGUGCUUCAGCAUUUUUGCUGAGGAUCAGAAUGCUGCUCCUUUGAAAAUAGUUUCUAGAAAACAUCAAUCACCAAAAAUUUUAGACAGUGCUUCUAGAAUCCAUUUCCUAUAUCAAAUCAUUCAAAUUUAUGAGAGCACAGAACAGAGAAAGUAGUGUAUCUUGACGGGGAAAAACAGAACUACUUGUGCUCCAUUACCCAAACACAUGCAUCUUAGUUUAAGCGAAGUAUAAUGUUGCAUUUCACCUGAAGAGUUCUGAAGUGCUCAGUCCUUCCAACUUUUAAGGAAAACAGGAUGCAGAGAUGGAGAUUAUAGUAAACUGGUAAAUUUAAAAGUUCAGGAACACAAAGGAUGAGACUCAGUAGCCUAACAACAGGCAACUAGUGCUGGUUUUGAUGCUCAAGAAUCUGCAUGAAGCUAGCAGACGUAACACAGGAACUAGAGAUGCCAGUGCCCUCCUGGAAUCACAGCUGAGAUGCAGAAAUACAUUCUAGAGCACCUAAAACGGCUUUACAUGACUAUGCCUGUGAAGUGAAUCCUACCCUUGAAAACUAACUGAUGCCAAAUUACAGAAGUGUAGGAAACUCACAGCAAAUGCCUGCUUGCUUUCUCCAAGUUCCCAGCAAAUGGUUUGACUGCAGUAGAGAAAGUCUCUUGGGGACUAUCUAAGCCAUGUAAUAAAGCUAGUAUUUUGUGGUAUACUUUUAAGUGACCCAAACCCCUAAAAUGUCAUUUUCUUCAUAUGUUUAAUACAUGGAAAGCGAAGUCCAAUUCAAAAUUAUCCCUGUGCUUCAUCAAAGGGCAGAGAUUACAUGGGCUGUACUAGUUUGGCAACAGUUACAAGUGAAUGAAAGUUUCACAUUGUACAUAAAGGAAGGCUCAUUUAAACCUCUGAAAAGGACUGGGAUGAAAAGCUAUUCAGCAGAUCAGUAUCAUCAGCCUGGCCCAGUUUUGCAGGGCAACAACUUGGACUCUCACAUGCAAAGUUCAUAUUAUAUGAAUGAAAAACACCACCACUACAGUUUUGUUCCAUCUAAUUUCUACAAUGAUAGCUCAGAAAAGCCAAGAAAAAGAUUUUGCAUUAAAAUCUUUAAGGUGUCAAAGUCCCCUAUCUUUCUGAAACAGAAUUAAAGGAUUUUCAUUACAUUUCUACUAAAAAUUGAAAACAAAUUACCUCUUGACCUUGAGAAACCACUCAUCUGGAAUACUUUACUUUCAAUGAUAUAUUUUUAAUUGUGUAACACUUUUAAGCUGGUGAUUGUUCUCUCCCCCCACCCCCCCAAAAAAAGUGAUUUGAUGCACUGUAAUAAAAGUGAUUCAUAAAAUAAAACACCUGCUUGAUAAGCAGCUUGUUUUCUGCUACCUCUUUUCAUCUUUUGUAAAAUACAUGACAUUGUCAUGUUCUGAGAACAUAUAACAAUCUACCUGUGAAUCUUACAUAGGAAUCCAGCUAUAAGUUAUUCUCAACUUGGAAAUGCUUUAUAUCAAAGCCAUCUCUAUUCCUUAGAACUUAAAGCAUAUUGCAAAUCAGGAAGCAAUUCUUUGAGCAAGCUAUAUAGCUUAGAAAAUGUCUGCUUAGUUUGUUGUCCACAGAA